This 483-nucleotide ribosomal RNA is filed under the name uncultured bacterium. RNAcentral's name for it is "partial 16S ribosomal RNA". It matches the Rfam family "Bacterial small subunit ribosomal RNA", at positions 28 to 523 of the family's 1533-position model. The record is from RNAcentral.
GACGAACGCUGGCGGCGUGCUUUACACAUGCGAGUCGAACGGUGAAGGUGGAGCUUGCUCCGCCGGAUCAGUGGCGAACGGGUGAGUAACACGUGGGCAACCUGCCCCUAACUUUGGGAUAGCUACUCGAAAGAGUAGCUAAUACCGGAUAUGAAGUCUGUAGGCAUCUAUGGAUUUGGAAAGUUUUUCGGUUAGGGAUGGGCCCGCGGCCUAUCAGCUUGUUGGUGAGGUAGUGGCUCACCAAGGCGACGACGGGUAGCCGGCCUGAGAGGGCGACCGGCCACACUGGGACUGAGACACGGCCCAGACUCCUGCGGGAGGCAGCAGUGGGGAAUAUUGCGCAAUGGGCGAAAGCCUGACGCAGCAACGCCGCGUGCGGGAUGAAGGCCUUCGGGUUGUAAACCGCUUUCAGCAGGGAGGAAGCGAAAGUGACGGUACCUGCAGAAGAAGCACCGGCUAACUACGUGCCAGCAGCCGCCGUAA